GGAAUGAGCGUGUUGGAAAAGAA
RNAcentral lists this microRNA (23 nucleotides) under Prunus persica (peach). Its description in RNAcentral is "microRNA miRNA_211". The record is from RNAcentral. Lineage: Eukaryota; Viridiplantae; Streptophyta; Magnoliopsida; Rosales; Rosaceae.